Molecule: ribosomal RNA, 448 nt
Filed under: Cucumaria piperata
Lineage: Eukaryota; Metazoa; Echinodermata; Holothuroidea; Dendrochirotida; Cucumariidae
Description: partial large subunit rRNA
Rfam family: Bacterial large subunit ribosomal RNA (bases 1-350)
Source: RNAcentral
UAUCGAGCUUCAACUCUUUAGAUACCUUAAAACCUUUGAAAGAAAAUUAUCUCUAAAAAGAAGUUUUGGUUGGGGCAACCACGGAGUAUAAAAACCCUCCAGAAAACUAAACCGAUCUUUAAUCAAAUAAACUUAAACAAUAAAGAACCAGUAACCCUGGUAAACAGAAAAAGUUACCGCAGGAUAACAGCGUAAUCUCCUUUAAGAGUUCACAUUGACAAGGAGGAUUGCGACCUCGAUGUUGGAUUGGGACCCAUAGGUGCAGCAGCUCUAAUGGUUGGACUGUUCGUCCAUUAAACCUACAUGAUCUGAGUUCAGACCGACGAGAGUCAGGUCAGCUUCUAUCUUCUUAAAAUUUUUUUCUAGUACGAAAGGACCGAAAAAAUACUUCCCAUGAUUUUUAUCAAGAAGUAACUUCAACCAAACACAAAACACUUCAAUAAUGAAA